Molecule: long non-coding RNA, 239 nt
Organism: Calidris pugnax (ruff)
Lineage: Eukaryota; Metazoa; Chordata; Aves; Charadriiformes; Scolopacidae
Exons: 3
Source: RefSeq, a predicted model, not a curated record
GAAAGAGUUUCAAAGACUUCAAAACUUUGGACCUCAUAAUUGCUUGCAGAAAGAACUUCCUAUGUUCAAGUCUGUGCCUGUUACCUCCUGUCACUGGCCACCACUGAAAAAAGACUGGCCCUAUACUCCUGUCACCCACCCUAUCUCACUUUGGAUCCCUACUCCUGUCAUUGAUGUGUUUAAAUCCAAAAGGAGAAACAGCGAAGAACAGUGAAAAGCAAACUAAUAGAAAAAAAUAU